Molecule: ribosomal RNA, 488 nt
Filed under: uncultured bacterium
Lineage: Bacteria
Description: partial 16S ribosomal RNA
Rfam family: Bacterial small subunit ribosomal RNA
Source: RNAcentral
GACGAACGCUGGCGGCGUGCCUAACACAUGCAAGUCGAACGGAAAGACACUGCUUUUGUGCGGUUCUCGAUUGGCGAACGCGUGAGUAUCACGUGAGUAACCUGCCCUUGUCUUUCUGGUAACAUCACGGAACUCGGGCUAAUAUCCUAUAUGAGCUCCUGCUGCAUGGUGGGCAAUGGAAAUUUGCGGCUUUGGGGGAUGUAAUCGCGGCGUAUCAGCUUGAUGGUUGGGUAGUUGAUUACCCAGGCUUUGAUGGGUAGCCGACCUGAGAGAGUGAUCGGCGACAUUGGAAGUGAGCCACGGACCAGACUCCUAAGGGAGGCAGCAGACUGGAACGUGGGGCAAUAGGCGGAAGCCUGACGCAGUGAGGGCGAGUGGGUGAGGAAGACCUUGCGUUCGUAAAGACCGCCUGUGGGUUAAGAACAGAUGUAGCCUUAGACGAAGCGAGAGUGACGGUACUGGAUCAAGAAGCACCGGCUAACUACGUG